Molecule: long non-coding RNA, 3647 nt
Filed under: Homo sapiens (human)
Lineage: Eukaryota; Metazoa; Chordata; Mammalia; Primates; Hominidae
Description: HSALNT0279229
Source: RNAcentral
GUUCCUGCUCUCAGCUCACUGUCCCCAUGGGUGGGAGGGCCCCUGAGGGGACUUCAAGGAGACCCUGGGCUCGUGGAGCCUCACGGGGGAAAGCCUGACUCUGAGUCACCACUGGAAAGUGCUGCAGGCAGCUGUGAAGAUGAAACGGGCAACGCCAGCUGCUCCUCCCCCUCGGACUCGGGCAGCCUUGCCCCCACGUUCCUGCAAAGAGCACGACCCCCCAAGGGAGCUCAGGUUCUACCCACCCUCAGGGCCCUCACCUCACCAGAGAGGUUCCUGCAAGCAGCACGGCUGAGAAGCUGCUCCAAAAUAGGACCCCACUUCAGCCUGGGUGAGGCAGGGGCCUGCACUGGUGCCUCAGGAGCCAGUCGUGGUGGGGGCCUGGCUGGCAAACCUGAAGGGGCAGCCCAGGCCUGCAGCCCGAGCCCACAUGGAGACACCGGGACUCGAGAUGGGCCUGAGGGGAAAUCACCUCCCUUCCUAUCCCACAGCACACUUCGGGGGAGGGAAGGAGGAAUAAAGGGGAGGCCGGACCUGAGGAGCGCUCUGGGGGGCUUCAGGAGCACCAGGGUGUGCAUGGCGGUGUGGGGAGGGUGCCCAGGGCUGCAGAAGUUGGAGACGGCUCCAGAGGCAAGUAGAGCCUGGCAGGCAGGGGAGAGCGCACAGGCCUCUGACGCCAGGAGCAACCAGCAUCUGGGAAGACCCUGGGCACACCGCGAGCUGGUGGCGACCGCAUGGCCAGGCUAGGCGCCUGCUUAAACGAAGCCCUUGGAACUCAGUGAAAGCAGCGGCAUCCUCAGAAGAAAGAGAAACCGCUCACCACUGUCAGCACCACGGCCCCGUUCCCUGCACCCCCAGCCUUCAUGGGGAGGACACAUCCUUUCACUGAAUUGGGAGAAAAACAGCAUCACCCCCACCCCGCCCCCAGGUUUCCUGAGCCUCAGCACCAGGGAGAGUGCUCAGAAUGGGCCCUGGACUCUGGGGCCUGGAGCAGGUCUGAAGGCUCCCGCAGCUGCAGUCUCUGCCGUCUGCACUGGGGACGGCUCUUGGGUUGGGUCCUUCUUCCCUGCGCACUCCGAGGUCCUCCCUGCAGCCUUCCAGUCAGCAGGACCUGGCUGGGGGGACAGCAUCAGGGGCACUGGCUGAGGGAGGUGAAUGAGCCUCUCCCUGGUAUGCAGGAAGGGCCUGGUGGGAAGAACAAUGACUCAGCCUGGAGAUGGCAGCAGCUCAGCCCUCAUGGGACUGUCUGACUCAGUCCCCACCCUCUCUGUCCCCAGGAAUGACCAGCCAUUGGGUGGCCCUGCUGGAGGCCGCCCCCGCCUAUGACCAGACAGCCUCUGCUCUGGAGGGCUCCUGUCCUGAGUGCCGACUGCCAGGCCGUCCUCGGGCUGGAAAGGGCAGAGCUGUGGGGAGGUGAGCAGAAGCCCAGGGAAGCACCGGGUGCUGGGCAGGCCAGCCAGCUGCAGGCAUCGCUUUCAGGGUGCAGAAGAGCCAGACCCAGCCCAAGGAGGGAGGCCCAGAGUGCCUCAGUGAUGACCACGUGGGCAUAGCCAGGAGGAACACCCAGGGCGGCGGUAGGUCCCUGGAAGAGGGACACGGUGGGCAUUGCCUGGGGUUGGGAAGCCUCCGUCUCUGCAGGUCACUCGCACCUGGGAGUAUGGCCACGGUCAGCCCCAGAGUCCGGAAGGAAAGCAGGGCCCGGGAGGCCUCAGGACCAGAAACAAACAGAGAAGAUGCCAGAGGCAUCCACAAGGCAAAGUCAGCAAAACAGGGGAUAAAGGAGCUGUUUCAGAGGAAGAAAAGUCCCGGUCCCUGCAGGAGGGGCCAACUCCCAGCCUCAUGCUGCUGCCACAGGGGGCCUGUGGGGCUGGUUCCAGCUGGGGAAGCACAGGGAGACGUCCACCCAGGAAACUGCUCCAAAGCCAGGACAAGUGUGACUGGAGUUGGGAAGAGCAGAGACGAUGGCUCAGCAGUGAACAGCCAGGGGCAGCCCAGGAGGCGAAGCUGGCCCUGCUCACCCUGUCCACAUCCUGAUGCAAGAAGAACAUGGCGUGGAGCUCCGUAAUGAGGCAGCAUCCACUGCACAAACAAGCCCAGAAAAAGGGAGACACACAGGUGACCCAGAGUGGAGUCAGGAAGCCCCGAGAAAGGACGCGGGCUGUGGCUGCUGCAGAACUUGGAGCUCCAAAAUAACAAAGGAAAUGACCUAUGCACAGCCACGAGGAGAGAGAGACGGGGUCCCAGCAUUGCUGGGAGAGGCCAUGAUGCUCAGUGGGCACCCACCAUGAGAUGCCCGGGUCCUGAGCCAGGAGGCGGAGCCACUCCCCACGCACUCUGUCCUGACUUUGGUGACAGGAGCAGCCACCGAAUGCCAUCAUCUGCCAAGGUGACCUCCAAGCACUGGGCAGGCAGAGGCCGCUCCUGUUUUCCAGGAAGCUGGCAAGUGGGCUCUGGAGACGGCAGUUUUAUCUGCAGGCAGAGGGAGCGACCAGGUGCCCGAAGCCCCUCCACCCCGGGACUGCAGCGUCCUGGGACCCUCAAGACAGGAUCCCACGAGGAGGGUUACCAGCUCCCCGGCCGAGGCGUUCUCUUUCCCUACGGCCUGCCUUUUUCAUAAGAUCAAUGCCGUGGAAUCCUACGGAAAUGAAUUAUUAGCUAAUACUUCCAAAGAACGAACCUGUCAAAGUUCCAUGUUUCCAACUGAACCCAUGUUCCUCCACUAAUACUUGGAUUUUCUUCCACCACGGCCGUUCCUGAGACAGCAAGACCAGUUCCUCCUCCUUCUGCUCCUCCUCAGCCCACUUGACGUGAAGACGACGAGGAUGGAGACCUUGAUCGUGCCCCACUCCCACCUAAUGAAUAGUCUGUAGAUUUUCUCUUCCUUAGGACUUUCUUCAUAACAUUUUCCUUUCUCUAUCUUACUUUAUUAUAAAAAUACAGUAUAUAACACAGAUGCAAAUUAUGUGUUAAUUGAGUUUUUAUGUUAUCUGUAAGGCUUCCAGUCAACAGUUGGCCCUCAGGAGCUAAGUUUUGGGGGAGUCCAAAGUUGUAUGAGUAUUUUUCACUGUGUAGGGGAUCAGUGCCCAUAAACCUCAGGUUAUUUAAGGGUCUACUGUAUAAAGUAAAUAUUGGACUCAUAAUAACAAUAGCAGCUAUAACAUCUUUGUAGCACUUAGCCUUGGUACAGGUGCCUUCAAUAUGCUAACUAAUUUAACUUUUAACCAAGCCAGUUCUUUAUGUAAAAAAAACGAUUCAUCAUAAUUUAAUAUCUUAUACAUGUUCCAUUCAAUUUUCUAAAUUUGGCUAAUAUAAAAUAAGGUUUAAUAUUACCAUGAUUUGAUCAACAUUUCAAAAUUACAUAUAUUUCUCUUACAAAUUCAUUGUUAUUGACAUCAAAUUUAUAACCACGUUAUUGGCAUUGUUUAACCACACAGUAAAAUAAGUGUAAUCAGUGAAAAAAAUAGAAUAAAAUCUAUAUAGUGGAGACCUUGAAAUAUAUGUGCGAGAGUGCAAGAGUUUAUUCACUGUUGGGAUGAAAUGCUAUUUAACAGUUUUUCUUUCCCAAGGGAUGGAAUUAUGUGGGAUUCUUGUCUCCAUCUGAGAUCUAUCCCAGGGCAUCAUCUCCGGAGAAGUUUCCGUCUUCUGCG